This is a long non-coding RNA of Piliocolobus tephrosceles (Ugandan red Colobus), 2434 nucleotides long. RefSeq lists it as uncharacterized. The record is from RefSeq and is a predicted model, not a curated record. The transcript has 3 exons. Lineage: Eukaryota; Metazoa; Chordata; Mammalia; Primates; Cercopithecidae.
UCAAGGUUUUAAAGUUUCUUUCAAAGAAAGACACUUUUCUCUCUUAGAGAAAUUCUGCUGCCAUCUAUAAAGAAAUACGUUCUCCACGUUUCACAAGGGAAUGAAUAAAUUCAUGAAUAGUGUUGGAGGUGGGGCCUGGUGGGAGCUGUUUGGACCAUGGAAGCAGAUCCUUCGUGAAUGGCCAUCCCCUUGGUAAUAAAGUUACAGUCAAGAUGUUGACCAGGAUGCAUGCAAUCAUAUGAAGGCCUGACUGGGGUUGGAGGAUCUGCUUCCAAGCUCAUUCACAUGGCUAUUGUCAGAAGGCUUCAAUACCUCAUCGACUGUUAGCUGGAAGCCUUAAUUACUCACCAUGUGAGCCUUUUUAUAAGUUGCCUAAGUGACCUUAUGACUCUGAUAUGACAGCUACCUGGCCCCAACAAGUAAUCCUGGAGAAAGAAUAAAAAGGCUGGCAUGUUUUAUAGUUUCCCCUCAGAAGUUACACUACAUCAUUUCCUCUGCAUUCUAUUCAUGAGAACAAGUCAUUUAAUACAGUCCAAACUCAAGGUGAGGGGAAUGAAGUUUGACCCUUUGAAGAAAGAAGUAUCAAAUAAUUUGUGAACAUAUUUUAAUUCUACCAUAUGAGUUAAUAAAAUUUAAUUCAUGAAAUUUAACUUAAUUAUUAUAAAGUGGUGUCAAUAUAUUUGUAAAAUGUAGGUAUUUAAAGGGAAACAAAGUCUAUUAAAGAAGACAAUGUUUCAAUGUUGUUGCUAGCUUGUUUGCAUUUUGUCACCAUUUUCGUCUCAUUCUGUCUGUUAAAAAAAUUCUCUAUAUAGUGCUAAAUAAAUGAAGACUUGGCCUAUCUUACUAUGUCAACUAAGAAUUGGAUUUGAUACUUAUAACAGACAAUAACAGAAUCUUAUAUAGAAGGGAUAUAGUCUUCCUCACCUAAUAACAAAUCCAGAAGUGGGACAGUCCAGAGCUGGUAAGUUGGCCCUCCAAAGCAACCACGGACCUAGGCACCUCCGGUGUCCUACAUUAUUAAUAGUGCCGGUGUGGCUUUUGUUAUUAUGGGUGAAAUAUGUUUGCUCUACCUCCAGUAUCAUGUCCCUGUUUCAGGUUCAAAACAAUAAAAGGGGUGGGUGCAGAUCAAAUGGCUAAAGCAAUAUUUCUUGAGCCUCCUCUACAGAAAUUCACUUUUAUUUAAUUGAUGGUCACAUGGCCAGCCAUGACUUAAGAAAGUCUAGGAGCAUGAAUAUUUUUAACUGGACACACUGUCUCCCUGAGGAAAUCAGAGUUCUACUAGUAAAGAAGAAAGGAUAUUGGUUUAGACAACCAGUAAUGUCUACCGACCUACUCCAAGGAGCUUUAACAUGCAUUAUUAAACACUAGAUACAAGAAAAACAACAAUACUGAGGUUUACUUGUGUUUCAAAUAUAUUUCAAAUGGGAGAAUCUGGUCAGUUUUGAGUCCCACAUAUAAAGUAUAUUUUUCAAAGUAACCACAACUUUUAUUCUCUAAUUGAAAAUGUUAAAGAAUUGGCUGACAUUAAUGUUACUUCUAGGAAUGUGUCCAAGGAGAUAAUUGCACAAUUGUACAACAGCCUGUGGAUAAGAAUGUUCAUCAGAGACUUUUUUAUGAUAGUAAAAACUUGGAAACAUAAAUGUCAAUCAAUAGAAUACUGGUUGGAUAAAUGACGGUAUAUCCAUUUAACAGACACUAUGCAACUUUUAAAAAUGAUGUUAUUCACGACUAUUGUUCACUGUGCAGAUAAUAAGAUCCAAUUUAUGAAAUAUUGUAUUUAUAUGUCUAUAUGUGUUUCUAUUCUUAAAGAGAUGCCUAGAAGAAUGUAACACAAAAUUUAAGAAAUGGUUAUCUCUAUAUUAUGGUAUUUGGACAGAUUUUAACUUCUUUGCAUUUUUGUUUAAAAUUUUUCAAUUUGUUUGCAUAAGCAUGUAUUGUUUUUAUAAAACAAUAGUUAUUAGCUGGGUGCCACAGGCUGCGCCUGUAAUCCCAACUACUGGGGAAGCUAAUGUAGGAAGAUUGCUUCAGCCCUCAGCCCAGUUGCUCGAGGCUGUUGUGUGCAUGAUCACACCUGUGAAUAGCCACUGCACUCCAGCCUGGGCGACACAGAAAGACCAUAUCGCUUUUAAAAAAGAAAAAAAAAAAGCUAUUUUCAAAGAAAGGCAGGGUGGGAGCAGGGCUGAUUUGGUCCAGUAUUGUUUCCAGCAAGUAAUUAUCCUGGAUAAGGCUGUGGCUGACCUUAUCUUAGGAAAGGGUUCUAAUCUUUGCUCAAUGGAAAAAAGUGUUAUUCUUUAUUCAUUAUAACUUUUAAUAAAAUUAAAACGAGAAAAGGAGUUGUGAGUUUUCAUUUCUAUUUGGAACACUGACCUCUGAAAGGGUCUCCCUUCCAUGUUUUACAAUGGGUGGAAAGAUAUUGUGGAAAGGUGGAGGGGGA